RNAcentral lists this long non-coding RNA (3555 nucleotides) under Paramuricea clavata. The record is from RNAcentral. Lineage: Eukaryota; Metazoa; Cnidaria; Anthozoa; Malacalcyonacea; Plexauridae.
AGUUACUGGAGCCAAACAGACGGACACAAGAUGCCCUGAAUGUGUCACCGAACAUUUCACCAAAGCGAAGUUUGAGUGUCAGGCGAUCUUUGAGAAUGGCACGACCGAAAUCAACUGAUUGUGAGCGAAAUUUAGUUGAAUAGUUAGGUAAAUAUAGAAAGCAUGAUAAUUCUUUCAACAGGCUCUAUGCAAGGUUUCACUAAGCACUGUCAAGCAGCAGAGGUUUAGUUUUAUUUUCUAGCUUCAUCAUCUCUGAAGUUGACUACCAUCUGCUGUCUUGUAAAAUUUACUGAAAGCAAUAUUGUCACAGUAUAGGGAGACAACCAGUAGGGCCACUUAGGGGAGAGAAAAGUGGGAAUUAUUUAAGCUAGGUCCCAGGUGUUUUACGCGGCCAAACUCAUUACUCUGUAAUACAAUUUUAUAGUGAACUGCUGCCAUUUACUGGCUGCCAAUAUGUAAAUUAGGUUGGCAGCCAGUAAACAAUGUGGACACUUUUUUACACUGAGUGGCCCUACUGUAGUUUUCAUAUACUGUGAUAUUGUUUACAUUCUAGUAUACUAAAUUGUAUAUUCAUUAAUAUACAAUUUAGUAUAUUAAUGAAUGACAAAAUGUCACUAAAAUCAUAUGGACAGUCCAGAAGACAACAUCAGGAAAUAAUGGAUGAUCCUAGGAUCUAGAAUUCCAGAGAAUUUUCAGACCUGGUUUAUAUAGCUGGCAGAAAAUUUUAGGGCAUUGCAUAAUGCUAACAGGCACAGAAAAUAAUUUAUUAGAAAGAACAUUAGUGAGCUCGGCAUGCAGAACGUUUGCCCCUAAAACCUAGGAUCCCAGAAACAAAAACAUUUCCUGCUAUGGAAGACAGACAGGGGGGACUGGAAACGCUAUAGUUUUAUACGUGGUAUCCGUGACAUGCCUGGUUGUUCAAGCUAAAAUACAGUGGCGUUACCCAUUUCCAGCCGACAAUUUGAAAUAUAUACGAAAUAAAGCAGAUUCCGAAUAUGUGCAUCUUGAAAAUCCAAAAUAUGGAUCGAAGUCGGAGUCAUCGUUGGUAAUUAUACUGAUAGGAUACUAUAAUAAACUAUAUCUACGUUUUGUGUAUAUCAGUUGAUCUACAGAAGGCUUUAAAACCCCCGAAAUGAUGCAUAUCUUUUCAUGAUUUUCAAGAUGCGUACAUGUAAAUUCGAAAUUUGUUUUGAUUUGUACAGUCACAUUAAUUUGCCUACUAAUAUAUGAUCAUUUGUAUAUAUUAUACAUGACGGUGUGGGGGGGGGGGCGACAGAGGCAACUGACCUCAGAGAAAAUUCAGUAAAGUACGUCGUCACCUUCGCUAUAUUUAGGACAUCGUUUUCGCGAAUGAAAUGUUGGGCUUUAACUAAGGUCUCAUAUACGCGAAGACGAGGCUGUAUAGGCAAUGUGAUGUACUUUCCGAAGGGUGUAUUUAGGAUUACUCACAUGCCUACUUGCCUAUUGUUUUAAAAAUCGUAGAAUACAAGAAACGUAGCUAUAAGCAUGCUAAUUUUGUACUCUUCCACUUUACGGAACAUACAGGGUGUAUAAAAAAAACUGAACCCUUUCAAAUUCAAAUUAGCUAUAACGUAUUGUAGUAAUUUGACAGCUCUAAUUGCUUUGAAUUAAUGGUUGGGUAAGAACACAAGGUCUUGUACUCAUGGGACAAAACUCUUAAAAACUUUUAAAUUUUCUAAUUUUUAUUUCUUUGAGUUUCGUCCCAUGAGUACAAGACCUUGUGUUCUUACCCCACCAUUAAUUCAAAGCAAUUAGAGCUGUCAAAUUACUACAAUACGUUAUAGCUAAUUUGAAUUUGAAAGGGUUCAGUUUUUUUAUACACCCUGUACUGUACAGGGUGUCCCAAAAAACCCGGAAACUAUUGAAAUCACUUAUUGUUAAAUUUGAAUGCCCUACCAAACAGCUGGACGUAAUGAUGCGUAAAAUAUUGACAAGGUGCAUGUAUUAGAAUUUAGUUAGGAAUAUCUCCUGAUAAAGUGCGCGAUUUUCUGCUCCUGGGAAUUAAAAACAACUUCUUAAACAGUUUCUUUAUGCAUAAAAUUUACUUAUGUCAAUCAUUUAUGCACUCGUGGGAACCAACAGAGCGCUAAGGCAUUCAAAUUCUAACAAUUAAAUUGUUAUUGGUGAUUUCAAUGGUUUUCGUUUUUUUUGGGACACCCUGUAGAAUACAGGGUGUCCCAAAAAACCCGAAAACUAUUGAAAUCACUUAUUGUUAAAUUUGAAUGCCCUACCAAACAGCUGGACGUAAUGAUGCGUAAAAUAUUGACAAGGUGCAUGUAUUAGAAUUUAGUUAGGAAUAUCUCCUGAUAAAGUGCGCGAUUUUCUGCUCCUGGGAAUUAAAAACAACUUCUUAAACAGUUUCUUUAUGCAUAAAAUUUACUUAUGUCAAUCAUUUAUGCACUCGUGGGAACCAACAGAGCGCUAAGGCAUUCAAAUUCUAACAAUUAAAUUGUUAUUGGUGAUUUCAAUGGUUUUCGUUUUUUUUGGGACACCCUGUAGAAUACAGGGUGUCCCAAAAAACCCGAAAACUAUUGAAAUCACUUAUUGUUAAAUUUGAAUGCCCUACCAAACAGCUGGACGUAAUGAUGCGUAAAAUAUUGACAAAGCGCAUGUAUUAGAAUUUAGUUAGGAAUAUCUCCUGGCAAAGUGCGCGAUUUUCUGCUCCUGGGAAUUAAAAACAGCUUCUUAAACAGUUUCCUUUAUGCAUAAAAUUUACUUAUGUCAAUCAUUUAUGCACUCGUGGGAACCAACAGAGUGCUAAGGCAUUCAAAUUCUAACAAUCAAAUUGUUAUUGGUGAUUUCAAUAGUUUUCGGUUUUUUUGGGACACCCUGUAGAAUUAAGAAAGGUAAUUUUGCAUUACAAUUAUCUACAUGAGUAAGUAUUUCAUAACUGAUUGUUUACUGUUCCGAAGUAACCAUGCAUGCAGGCAUGUGAGUUAUCGAAUGCUAAGUUACUUGGCCUAUAUUUUAUGCUUUGUUAAACUGAAACAAUAGUAUACUAGUCAUGUCAGUUAUGAAAUGUAAGUAACCUUUGUUCUUUUUUAUUAUAUAUAUGCAGGGCAUUUUUUAACUAUAUAUAACUACUGGGGCAUUUAUCCCUGUAAGCUCUUUGCUUGGCCCUGCAUGUGUAGUAAAGCAACAUUUUCAAAUGAACUGUGCGUUUUUUAUCACUAGUAAAAAGGCUGAACCUCGUGGAAGAGGUACGAUUAUUUCCUCACAAAAGACGAUGGAGUAUUUUCUCGCGUACACUUGACUGUGUGGGGAAAAGGCCUUCAUUAAGAUUUCUCAGUAGUUGUAAUUUCUUUAAAAAUGCCCUGAUCCUAUGCUUUCGUCAACUGGAACAAUAGUAACUAGUCAUGUAUGUUAUCUAAAGUUAUGAACUGGUUGUCAUCGUUGUUAAACAAGCGCUAUAUAUUCUUCCUAUAUUCUUGAGAAAAAUACCCAUGACUGAAAAAUAUUUACUUUUAGUUCGCACUUAGCAUUCGAUAUUUUAUUUUUAUAAAAUGUUAAAUAAUGAAGAUGUUUAAAAUAAAU